RNAcentral lists this ribosomal RNA (628 nucleotides) under Hyalorhinocladiella sp. 2YT4P-H2. Its description in RNAcentral is "eukaryotic LSU rRNA". It matches the Rfam family "Eukaryotic large subunit ribosomal RNA", at positions 1 to 652 of the family's 3401-position model. Lineage: Eukaryota; Fungi; Ascomycota; Sordariomycetes; Ophiostomatales; Ophiostomataceae. The record is from RNAcentral.
UGACCUCGGAUCAGGUAGGACUACCCGCUGAACUUAAGCAUAUCAAUAAGCGGAGGAAAAGAAACCAACAGGGAUUGCCCCAGUAACGGCGAGUGAAGCGGCAACAGCUCAAAUUUGAAAUCUGGCCCUCGGGUCCGAGUUGUAAUUUGGAGAGGAUGCUUCUGGCGCGGCGCCGUCCGAGUUCCUUGGAACAGGACGCCAUAGAGGGUGAGAGCCCCGUACGGGCGGCCGCCUAGCCUUUGUGAAGCUCCUUCGACGAGUCGAGUAGUUUGGGAAUGCUGCUCAAAAUGGGAGGUAAAUUUCUUCUAAAGCUAAAUACCGGCCAGAGACCGAUAGCGCACAAGUAGAGUGAUCGAAAGAUGAAAAGCACUUUGAAAAGAGGGUUAAAAAGUACGUGAAAUUGUUGAAAGGGAAGCGCCUGUGACCAGACUUGCGGCCCGCGGAUCAUCCGGCGUUCCUCGCCGGUGCACUCCGCGGGCGGCAGGCCAGCAUCGGUUUUCCUGGGGGGUCAAAGGUCGCGGGAACGUGGCUCCUUCGGGAGUGUUAUAGCCCGCGGCGUCAUGCCUCUGGGGGGACCGAGGACCGCGCUUCGGCAAGGAUGCUGGCGUAAUGGUCACCGGCGACCCGU